GUCCCCCCACCCUCAGGGUCCCCCUCCGCUGGGCACAAGAGGGGUUAAGGGAUUAAGGUUAAGGGGUUAAACACUCACCUUUCUCCAGCACCGGGCUCUCUCGGCGCUGGGGACUCUCCUCCCUCUUCCGACGUCAGCGGCCGAAUGGGCAUACGCGACAAGAGCCGCUCGCGCAUUCAAUCAGUCCAUAGGAAAGCAUUCCUCAAUGCUUUCCAUUGGACGGCAGCGUCUUCUCACUGUGAAAAUCACAGUGAGAAGCGCCUCUAGCGGCUGUCAAUGAGACAGCCACUAGAGGAUGGAUUAACUCUAAUGUAAACAUAGCAGUUUCUUUGAAACUGCUAUGUUUACAGCUGCAGAGUUAACCUUAGAUGGACCUGGCACUCAGAC
Molecule: non-coding RNA, 387 nt
Organism: Pelobates cultripes (western spadefoot toad)
Lineage: Eukaryota; Metazoa; Chordata; Amphibia; Anura; Pelobatidae
Source: the annotation of a GenBank genome assembly